AGCAGCCGCGGUAAUUCCAGCUCCAAUAGCGUAUAUCAAAGUUGUUGCAGUUAAAAAGCUCGUAGUUGAAUUUCAGGCCUGGCUGGACGGUCCGCCCUUCGGGUGAGUACUGUCUGUGGUCGGGUCCUACCUUCUGGCGAAGCGUCAUGGCCUUAACCGGCCGUGGCGGGGAACCAGGACUUUUACUGUGAAAAAUUAGAGUGUUCAAAGCAGGCAAUCGCUUGGAUACAUUAGCAUGGAAUAAUGGAAUAGGACAAUGGUUCUAUUUGUUGGUUUCUAGGACCGUUGUAAUGAUUAAUAGGGAUAGUUGGGGGCAUUAGUAUUCAAUUGUCAGAGGUGAAAUUCUUGGAUUUAUUGAAGACUAACUACUGCGAAAGCAUUUGCCAAGGAUGUUUUCAUUAAUCAAGAACGAAAGUUAGGGGAUCGAAGACGAUCAGAUACCGUCGUAGUCUUAACCAU
Molecule: ribosomal RNA, 459 nt
Filed under: uncultured Paraglomus
Lineage: Eukaryota; Fungi; Glomeromycota; Glomeromycetes; Paraglomerales; Paraglomeraceae
Description: SSU rRNA
Rfam family: Eukaryotic small subunit ribosomal RNA
Source: RNAcentral